Molecule: ribosomal RNA, 466 nt
Filed under: uncultured bacterium
Lineage: Bacteria
Description: bacterial SSU rRNA
Rfam family: Bacterial small subunit ribosomal RNA
Source: RNAcentral
AGAGUUUGAUCAUGGCUCAGGAUGAACGCUGGCGGCGUGCUUAACACAUGCAAGUCGAACGAACCUUCGGGUUAGUGGCGGACGGGUGAGUAACGCGUGAGAAUCUGCCCUCAGGAGGGGGAUAACGGUUGGAAACGACCGCUAAUACCCCAUAUGCCUACUGGUGAAAUGAAUUUCGCCUGAGGAUGAGCUCGCGUCUGAUUAGCUAGUUGGUGAGAUAAUGGCUCACCAAGGCUUCGAUCAGUAGCUGGUCUGAGAGGAUGAUCAGCCACACUGGGACUGAGACACGGCCCAGACUCCUACGGGAGGCAGCAGUGGGGAAUUUUCCGCAAUGGGCGAAAGCCUGACGGAGCAACGCCGCGUGAGGGACGAAGGCCUCUGGGCUGUAAACCUCUUUUCUCAAGGAAGAAGAUAUGACGGUACUUGAGGAAUAAGCCACGGCUAAUUCCGUGCCAGCCGCCGCGGU